Long non-coding RNA from Leopardus geoffroyi (Geoffroy's cat), 1206 nucleotides. RefSeq lists it as uncharacterized. Lineage: Eukaryota; Metazoa; Chordata; Mammalia; Carnivora; Felidae. The record is from RefSeq and is a predicted model, not a curated record. The transcript is spliced from 3 exons.
GGACUGUGUCGGGGACCACGGCGUGAAGCACCAUGGUAUGAACCCUGCACAUAGACUCUGCUCAAGGACCAUUGGCCAUCUUGCAUCAGUGUGGCAUUCGAGGAAUUUCUGGGGACGAAAAUUUCAGUUUCCGGGCUAUUUUAUGGGACCGCUGCCUGGUCUGUCUAGAAUUCCAGAACCUUUCCCUGGUUUCCAGCUGGACCUGCUAUGACCUUCUCCUGUGCCCUCUCCAAUUGGACGUCUGGCCUCGCGUAGUUCCUCGUAUUCUCCACCACCCCCAUCAAAGCCGGUGGCCCCCUCCGGGGCUCUGGGAGUCUCCUGUGGUCAGCACUUUGGCGCAAGGCCACGCGCCUUUCUGACUUUCCAGGGCCUCUGCUGCGGAACACCGGGUGGGCUGGCCCAGGGCAGGGUCGGUGCACCUUGUCUGGGAAGGCAAGGGUCCGGGAGGUGGGAGCACCCGCCACGUCUGUGGGGCCCGCGCGGGUGACUCCGGCACAUGGCUGGACCCUGCAGCCUCCUGCCACCAUCUGUCGUCAUCAGUCACCAACUUUGGUAAGAAGGGCUCGCUCAGGCUCUCGCGCCCUCCAACGGGCAGAAUUGGGAGUCUCAGCAGCUCCUGCCAGCCACCCCGGACCGAUGAGAGGGAGAGGCUUCGGGAUCCGGACAUGUCCUUUGAAAAGGAAGCUAGACUGCCCCCCGCGUCUGGAUUGUUCCCACCUACGGUUGACGACGAAUUAAAGUAUUAACAGCCAGAGCGGAAGCGGGGCUCAUGCGCGGGCUCGUGCGCGGCGGCAGGUGCGCGCCCAGCAGAUGCAGCACCCUCGCGAGUGAAAAGCUAGUAAACUCACGAGUGCAGAGCCACCGCCAGAGGGGGAUCGCCUCCGGGUAUGAACUUACGUCUCCAUUUACUGCAACUCCUCACCGGGUUCUAUUUGAUUUGGGGGCAAUGCGGCUUUCCCUUUCCUUCCUCAUCCAGAAACGUCUCCAAACCCUGUACUAAGACUUUUUGGAAUCUUCCUUCUUACGGGGGGACUUUUGGAAGGAUCCAUGAGUUUGGCGGGGGGGAAGGGCGGGUACUGCCGGCCCGCUGAAUGUUGAAGAGCCUUUCUCUACACCUGGAGCCUCGCAACAAAUCCUCCCAACUGGUCUUAGACUGGUGUUUCCUUUAUGAGUUGUGCGUGGCUUACGGUAGCGGGUCAACGCCAG